UACGGAGGGUGCAAGCGUUAUCCGGAUUUACUGGGUUUAAAGGGUGCGUAGGUGGGUCUGUAAGUCAGUGGUGAAAUCUCCGGGCUUAACCCGGAAACUGCCAUUGAUACUAUAGGUCUUGAAUAUCCUGGAGGUGAGCGGAAUAUGUCAUGUAGCGGUGAAAUGCUUAGAUAUGACAUAGAACACCAAUUGCGAAGGCAGCUUGCUACAGGAAUAUUGACACUGAGGCACGAAAGCGUGGGGAUCAAACAGG
This 253-nucleotide ribosomal RNA is filed under the name uncultured bacterium. Its description in RNAcentral is "partial 16S ribosomal RNA". It matches the Rfam family "Bacterial small subunit ribosomal RNA", at positions 524 to 776 of the family's 1533-position model. The record is from RNAcentral.